CAAGUUCAGCGGUGACAUUCUUCUGCAGGACUUCUCCGCGCAUCUCUUAGAAGGAGACGGUAGGAUUCGCCCAUUUUUAACCGUAGCAUCCUGUGUUUUUCAGAUUACCUCCUGGGACUUUUCAAAAAUGCCUCAUCCCAAGGAACGCCCCAAGGGUCUAGAACUGCCCAUCCCAGGUCAACUGGGAAGAAGGAAAGACAAGAAAAGAACGUACAACCUGCAAAUAAUAGUAAGGGAGUAAGUGGAAAUAUGAAAUAAAUACUGAUGCGCCUGCCCCAUCUGGUCACACAGUGCUUUGAAGAAAGGCCCUUCCUUUGGGGAAAAUGACAAGAAUUCGGCCUUCAUCAUCAAUGCUGGAGAAUAAGACAGACCUGUUCACUUCCCCUUCGGCAUGUGACGUUUGGAACACAGAUUUACGUGAGGAGCAGGAAAAGAUCAUCUCGGGCUCCUGCUGCUGCUGUCCAGCCUCCCUGGCUCUGUGCGAAGAGUGUCCUCCCAAGGCACCUGGACGUCCCACCUUUGAGAGAGAUUUGCACACACCGUGACCCACGAGCAGGUCCUUGGGGCCAGAAGGAGCCUCCACUGUCAGCACAAGAGCAUCACCGCCAAGUCAGACAGCUUCUUGGAAAAUAAAAAGUGAAGUCACAGAACAAAACAAAAACUCUCUCUUCAAACUGCUGUCUCUCCCUGCCGUGUGAGGACAACAGUGGAAAAGCAGCCAUCUGCAAGCCAAGAAGAAAGCUCCAACCAGAACCCAGGCAUGCUGGCACCCACAUCGCAGAUGUUUAUCUUCCAGAACUGUAAGAAAAUAACAUAUCUGUUGUUUAAGCCACCUAGUCUAUGGUAUUUUGUUCUGGCAGCCAGAGCUAGCUAGGACAGGACUAAGUGGUCCUCUGAGCCAACCUUCUUAUUUUACACAGAUCCAAAGGGACACAGAGCAGACCAGGAUCAAAACCCAGCCCAUUCUCUAACCCACAGCCCACAGCUCUAGCCAGUGAAACAAGCUUGCCAAAUAGUGCAGAAUGAAAGAACAGGCCGAAAGCAAAAAGUAUGUUUUUCUUAAACAUGUCGAUACCUUUAAACUCUUUUUUAGACUAGCUUUGAAAUAACAUUUAACUGAAGGUCCAAGGGGACCUCCAGAAAGGCAUGAAGUUGAGAAUUUGGCUUACAAGGCUUCCAAAGAUGAGAAAGGGAGAGGCCUACCUUUUGGUUAUAAUGAAAUUGUAAUUACAGCCUUGUGAGUUAUGCAAAGGAGAGCAGACAGCAGGAUUCACAACCCCAUGAAAUUUCUUGUAUCUGUAUGCAAAACUGAAUGAACUAAAACAUGUCAGAUCUUCUCUUUAAAAUCCUCUGUUGCAAGCACUACGUUACAUGAGAAUGGUGUUUUACACCUCACAGUGUGCUUCUACAUAACAUAGUCUCAGGGAAUCCAUGCAACAGCCAGCAGAGGAAUUUAGCAUCCAUAAGUGAUCAAGCAAAGUCACACAGCUGCUAAGAGUUAGAACUGACACUUGAAUACUGUGUGUGCAUGUGAGAGAGAGAGAGAAUGACUUGGGGUGGGGUUGAUCCCACUUCACUAUAUGCUCUAGAGCUGCACUCCAAGAAGUGUCGUAAACAUUCGCCAUUAACAAAAAGACUAAACUACCAGUAAAAGGCCCGAGUUUUAGCUCUGCCAUCAAUUCAUGGUCAGCUUGGGCCAGUCACUUAGCCUCUAGUUCUCUGUUUCUUCGACUAUAAAAAAAGUGUGUUAAAUAGUUUUGUCUUUGAUUCUCUUUCCAUUCAAUCUUUCAGCAGUGUGCCUUUCUCCAGAGGUGGCCAUUUUGGGAAAAUCUGGCCACACCUGUCAGUCAGUUGCUGAGAAGCCCCAGGGUAAACAACAAUCCAGGUGGGAUCACAGACCUGCCCCUCAGUAAAGAGGCUACCUAAAGACCCCUCGGGCACACAGCUGCCUCUAAUUCCAGCCAGAGACUAAGCCCCACCCACCAGAGGGAUUAGAAUCAGCUCCACCUACCCAGUGGGCAAGCAUCAGCCCCUCCCAUCAGGAAGCCUACAGCAAGCCCCCAUACCAACUUCAGCCACAAGGGGCUUCAGCCACACCAGAAGUAAGAGAGGCUACAAUUCUACUAUCUGUAAAAAGGUCACCACACCAAAAAACCUAUAAAAAUGAAAAGACAGAGAACUAUAACUCAGAUGAGGGAGAAAGAAAAAACCCCAGAAAAUCAGCUAAGUGAUGAGGAGAUUCUCAGCCACCAGGAAAAAGAUUUUAGAUUGUUGAUGCUAAAGAUGAUGCAAAACAUUGGAAACAAACUGGAGGCAAAGAUGGAUAACUUACAGGAAACACUAGCAAAGAGAUACAAGAUAUCAAACUGAAACAAGAAGAGAUGCAAAAUACAAUAACUGAAACAAAAAAUUCACUAGAAGCAACCAACAGCAGAAUACAGGACGCGGAAGAAUGAAUAAGCGAGGUGGCGGACAGAUUAGUGGAAAUUAUGGAUGCAG
Molecule: long non-coding RNA, 2499 nt
Filed under: Sus scrofa (pig)
Lineage: Eukaryota; Metazoa; Chordata; Mammalia; Artiodactyla; Suidae
Description: lncRNA (ENSSSCG00065034401.1)
Source: RNAcentral